This 57-nucleotide transfer RNA is filed under the name Listeria monocytogenes. RNAcentral describes it as "tRNA-Val". It matches the Rfam family "tRNA", at positions 8 to 62 of the family's 71-position model. From Rfam's summary of the family: Transfer RNA (tRNA) molecules are approximately 80 nucleotides in length. The record is from RNAcentral. Lineage: Bacteria; Bacillati; Bacillota; Bacilli; Caryophanales; Listeriaceae.
UAGCUCAGCUGGGAGAGCAUCUGCCUUACAAGCAGAGGGUCAGCGGUUCGAUCCCGU